UACGUAGGCAGCGAGCGUUGUUCGGAGUUACUGGGCGUAAAGGGUGUGUAGGCGGUUGUUUAAGUUUGGUGUGAAAUCUCCCGGCUCAACUGGGAGGGUGCGCCGAAUACUGAAUGACUUGGAGUGCGGGAGAGGAGAGUGGAAUUCCUGGUGUGGCGGUGAAAUGCGUAGAUAUCAGGAGGAACACCGGUGGUGUAGACGGCUCACUGGACCACAACUGACGCUGAGGCGCGAAAGCUAGGGGAGCAAACAGG
RNAcentral lists this ribosomal RNA (254 nucleotides) under uncultured bacterium. RNAcentral's name for it is "partial 16S ribosomal RNA". It matches the Rfam family "Bacterial small subunit ribosomal RNA", at positions 524 to 776 of the family's 1533-position model. The record is from RNAcentral.